Molecule: transfer RNA, 73 nt
Filed under: Candidatus Omnitrophus magneticus
Lineage: Bacteria; Pseudomonadati; Candidatus Omnitrophota
Rfam family: tRNA
About the family: Transfer RNA (tRNA) molecules are approximately 80 nucleotides in length.
Source: Rfam by way of RNAcentral
GCGCCUGUAGCUCAGCGGAUAGAGCGACUGCCUCCUAAGCCGUAGGCCGCCGGUUCAAUUCCGGCCAGGCGCA